RNAcentral lists this long non-coding RNA (1149 nucleotides) under Hordeum vulgare. RNAcentral describes it as "long non-coding RNA (HVUL_LNC001195)". The record is from RNAcentral. Lineage: Eukaryota; Viridiplantae; Streptophyta; Magnoliopsida; Poales; Poaceae.
CUUGGGGAUGACCCGGAAGGCAUCCCUCUUUCAUCUUCAAUCCAUCGGUAAAUUACUUGAGGCUAUAUUUUUAUUCACCACAUGAUAUGUGUUUUGCUUGGAGCAUCUUCUAUGAUAUGAUUCUUUACUUUUUAGUUUGUCACAAUCAUACUUGCUGCACACAUGCUCUGAGAGACACAUGCUAAAUCGUGAAUUUAUUAGAAUACUCUAUGUGCUUCACUUAUAUCUUUUGAGCCAGGAAUUGUUGCUCUAGUGCUUCACUUAUAUCUUUUAGAGCACGACGGUGUUUAAUUUUGUAAAAAUUAUUGAGCUCUCUUACCUCACUUAUAUUACUUUUAGAGUCCCUAAACAACAUGGUAAUUGGUUUAGGUUAUGAAUUUAGUCCUAAUAUAAUGGGCACCCAAGAGGGAUAUAAUAAAAACUUUCAUAUUAAGUGCAUUGAAUAUGAUGAGAAGUUUGAUUCCUUGCAUAUAAUUUUGAGAUAUGAAGAUGGUAAUAUGAGAGUCAUGCUAGUAAGUAAUUGUGAAUUGGAAGAAAUACUUGUGUUAAAGUUUGUGAUUCCUGUAGCAUGCACGUAUGGUGAACCGUUAUGUGAUGAAGUCGGAGUAUGAUUUGUUUAAUGAUUAUCAUCCUCUGUGCGAGAGUCGGGAUCGCACGAUGGAUAACUCCUACCAAUCCUUCCCCUAGGAGCAUGCGUCUAAUACUUUGCUUCGAUAAGUAAUAGACUUUUGCAAUAAGUAUGUGAGUUAUUUUUGAUUAAUGUCGAGUCCAUGGAUUAUACGCACUCUCUCCCUUCCACCAUUGCUACCCUCUCUAGUACCGUAGAACUUUCGCCGGUGCAUCAAACCCACCUUCCUCAAAUCGGCCAUCAUAUUUUCCUCAAAACAGCCACCAUAACUACCUAUUAUGUCAUUUCUAUAGCCAUUCUGAGAUAUAUUUCCAUGCAACACCACUGUUCUUUAUGACAUGCACCAUCAUUGCCAUAUUGCCUUGCAUGAUCGUAAGAUAGCUAGCAUGAUGUUGUCAUUUCUAUGCUAGAUCAUUGCACAUCCCGGUACACCGCCGAAGGCAUGCAUGUAGAGUCAUAUUUUUGUUUAGGAAUCGAGUUGUAAUUUUUGAGUUCUAAGUAAAUAAAAGUGUGAUGAUUUG